CCUACGGGGGGCUGCAGUGGGGAAUAUUGCACAAUGGGCGCAAGCCUGAUGCAGCCAUGCCGCGUGUGUAAAGAAGGCCAUCGGGUUGUAAAGCACUUUCAGCGGGGAGGAAGGCGUUAAGGUUAAUAACCUUGUCGAUUGACGUUACCCGCAGAAGAAGCACCGGCUAACUCCGUGCCAGCAGCCGCGGUAAUACGGAGGGUGCAAGCGUUAAUCGGAAUUACUGGGCGUAAAGCGCACGCAGGCGGUCUGUCAAGUCGGAUGUGAAAUCCCCGGGCUCAACCUGGGAACUGCAUUCGAAACCGGCAGGCUAGAGUCGUGUAGAGGGGGGGAGAAUUCCAGGUGUAGCGGUGAAAUGCGUAGAGAUCUGGAGGAAUACCGGUGGCGAAGGCGGCCCCCUGGACAAAGACUGACGCUCAGGUGCGAAAGCGUGGGGAGCAAACAGGAUUAGAUACCCUUGUAGUC
This 465-nucleotide ribosomal RNA is filed under the name uncultured Klebsiella sp. RNAcentral's name for it is "bacterial SSU rRNA". It matches the Rfam family "Bacterial small subunit ribosomal RNA", at positions 338 to 795 of the family's 1533-position model. The record is from RNAcentral. Lineage: Bacteria; Pseudomonadati; Pseudomonadota; Gammaproteobacteria; Enterobacterales; Enterobacteriaceae.